RNAcentral lists this ribosomal RNA (605 nucleotides) under uncultured bacterium. Its description in RNAcentral is "bacterial SSU rRNA". It matches the Rfam family "Bacterial small subunit ribosomal RNA", at positions 202 to 803 of the family's 1533-position model. The record is from RNAcentral.
CAAAGGAAGCGAUUCCGGCGGGGGAUGGGCAUGCGGCGCAUUAGCUAGUCGGCGGGGUAACGGCCCACCGAGGCGACGAUGCGUAGGGGUUCUGAGAGGAAGGUCCCCCACACUGGUACUGAGACACGGACCAGACUCCUACGGGAGGCAGCAGUGAGGAAUAUUGGUCAAUGGGCGGGAGCCUGAACCAGCCAAGUCGCGUGAGGGAAGACGGUCCUAUGGAUUGUAAACCUCUUUUGCCGGGGAGCAACGGGGUCCUUGCGAGGGCCUAAUGAGAGUACCCGGAGAAAAAGCAUCGGCUAACUCCGUGCCAGCAGCCGCGGUAAUACGGAGGAUGCGAGCGUUAUCCGGAUUUAUUGGGUUUAAAGGGUGCGUAGGCGGGCUGUUAAGUCAGCGGUCAAAUGUCGGGGCUCAACCCCGGCCUGCCGUUGAAACUGGUGGCCUCGAGUGGGCGAGAAGUAUGCGGAAUGCGUGGUGUAGCGGUGAAAUGCAUAGAUAUCACGCAGAACUCCGAUUGCGAAGGCAGCAUACCGGCGCCCGACUGACGCUGAGGCACGAAAGCGUGGGUAUCGAACAGGAUUAGAUACCCUGGUAGUCCACGCAGU